This 253-nucleotide ribosomal RNA is filed under the name uncultured bacterium. RNAcentral's name for it is "partial 16S ribosomal RNA". It matches the Rfam family "Bacterial small subunit ribosomal RNA", at positions 524 to 776 of the family's 1533-position model. The record is from RNAcentral.
UACAGAGGUCUCAAGCGUUGUUCGGAUUCAUUGGGCGUAAAGGGUGCGUAGGCCGCACGGUAAGUCAGAGGUGAAAUCCCGGAGCUCAACUUCGGAAUUGCCUCCGAUACUGCCGUGCUUGAGGACUGGAGAGGAGUCUGGAAUUCACAGUGGAGCAGUGAAAUGCGUAGAUAUUGUGAGGAACACUAGUGGCGAAGGCGAGACUCUGGACAGUUCCUGACGCUGAGGCACGAAGGCCAGGGGAGCAAACGGG